GACGAACGCUGGCGGCGUGCUUAACACAUGCAAGUCGAACGCUGAAGCUCAGCUUGCUGGGUGGAUGAGUGGCGAACGGGUGAGUAACACGUGAGUAACCUGCCCCCUUCUUUGGGAUAACGCCCGGAAACGGGUGCUAAUACUGGAUAUUCACUGAUCUUCGCAUGGGGGUUGGUGGAAAGGUUUUUUCUGGUGGGGGAUGGGCUCGCGGCCUAUCAGCUUGUUGGUGGGGUGAUGGCCUACCAAGGCUUUGACGGGUAGCCGGCCUGAGAGGGUGACCGGUCACAUUGGGACUGAGAUACGGCCCAGACUCCUACGGGAGGCAGCAGUGGGGAAUAUUGCACAAUGGGCGAAAGCCUGACGCAGCGACGCCGCGUGAGGGAUGGAGGCCUUCGGGUUGUAAACCUCUUUCGCUCAUGGUCAAGCCGCAACAUUGGUUGUGGUGAGGGUAGUGGGUAAAGAAGCGCCGGCUAACUACGUG
Molecule: ribosomal RNA, 481 nt
Filed under: uncultured bacterium
Lineage: Bacteria
Description: partial 16S ribosomal RNA
Rfam family: Bacterial small subunit ribosomal RNA
Source: RNAcentral